Molecule: long non-coding RNA, 824 nt
Organism: Hypanus sabinus (Atlantic stingray)
Lineage: Eukaryota; Metazoa; Chordata; Chondrichthyes; Myliobatiformes; Dasyatidae
Exons: 3
Source: RefSeq, a predicted model, not a curated record
CAGGCCGAGACCCUUCCCCAGGACUGGAAAGGAAGGGGAAAGAGGCAUUCACAAUGGAACAAAGAAAGACAAUAGAAAACUACACAGACAGACUGACAAUAUGCACAGGAAGACAAACUGUGAAAAUACAAAAAAGGAAACUACUAAUAAUAACUACGCAGUAUGGAAUUCUCCAGUGGAACCAGCAAUCUCUGGCACUUUAUCCAGUUUAAUGAAGACAGUUAGUGGUCACUGUAUGGGAGUCCUCGUGUGUGAAUAGACUGGCCACUCUGCAGAAUACUUCCGUUUGGUCCUCAAACCCAUCAGCUGUCUGAGACCUCAAUUCUCCAUCCCACUCACACUCUGACUCCCCAUGUUGGGAUUCCUCCACUGAUUCCUAUGGUGACCAAUAUAAGUUUGAAGAAGAGGACCACACUGUCCGACUUGCUAAGGUGCUUCCCUCAGCAUGUAAUCUCAGCUAAACAGAUUCACCAGCUUGGUUUAUAAACUGUAGCAUUGAAAUUAAUACAAUGCAUUACAGCGCCAGUGACUGGGGUUCAAUCUCUGCAGUGAUACGGAAGUCAGUUGUAUGCUCUUUACGGGACCUUCUGUACCAACGAGCGGAAAUACACAGCAACACAUCAUUUUAACCGUACCCUAAUCACAGGACAAUUUACUAUGACUAAUUAACCAAAAAACCAGCAUGUCUUUAGACAGUGGAAGGAAAGUGGAGCCCGUGGAGAACAUGCAGGGAGAGAAAGAACAAACUACUUACAGACGGCAUCGAAAUUGAACUCCAAAAAGGCCUGAGCUGUGAUACUAAAAAGUUUAAUGCCACAUUACAA